RNAcentral lists this long non-coding RNA (618 nucleotides) under Brassica napus (rape). Its description in RNAcentral is "long non-coding RNA (BNAP_LNC007815)". Lineage: Eukaryota; Viridiplantae; Streptophyta; Magnoliopsida; Brassicales; Brassicaceae. The record is from RNAcentral.
AAAAUAUCCUUAUUAGCACCCACUAGCAUAAACCUGACACAUGGAUAUGGCAAAUUUGUCGACCUUCUCAACUAUGGAAAUUUUAGGUGUCUGUUCAUCCUUUUAAGCUGAUACACAAAUGUUUUUUGUUGGAUUUUCUCGAAAUCGAAGUUUGAAAGUCUCGAUCUUGAAACCUAGAAGCACUCGUUCAUCUUCAAUUUACAAAAGUGAAGGCCAUCUAGAAGAACACAAUCAUUCAGUUACAGACAACCAACAAGACAGAUCAGCUAUGGAAGGACAGAUCUUAACCCUCAAUUGCAUGCCAGAGCUCAAUAUUAUCCUCGUUAUGCUGCUGUAAUAAUUCUAUUAAGAAACUCUUUGUUGCUUCACUUUGAUUCUUCCUUCCUUUUUGUUGCUGUGGUGGAAUUUUCUGGAACUUGAUUUUUAUUCAGACUAAGAUUGUACUUAAACUUGAAGCUGAACACAUUCCACGUUUACUUUUCUUAUUUUCAAAAAAACUUGACUCUUGUUCAACCUCUCUCCCUCGUUCUUGUUCAUCUUUCUCAUUGUAUCUUUACCUUCUUUUUAAUUAUUAUCUCUUACAUUGUUGUGAAGUUUCAUGUAAUUUCACACUCCCUC